Molecule: RNA transcript, 4356 nt
Organism: Photinus pyralis (common eastern firefly)
Lineage: Eukaryota; Metazoa; Arthropoda; Insecta; Coleoptera; Lampyridae
Exons: 5
Source: RefSeq, a predicted model, not a curated record
CUUAAAAUGCUUUCAAUUACCAGGUAUGUAUAUUUUUAUUCGUUCUUAAAAUUUUAAUCUAAAAGCUGUGCGCCCAGGAAUUGUAAUACCUUAUUUUAUGUCACAUAACCUUAAAUGUAUGAAAAGGCGGUUGAAAAUAAAUAGCCCGUUCAAAGCAUGAAUCGCUAUCACAUAUAGGUUUCGAUUACGCUACGUACCUAUCGCGAUCGGUUUUGCUGAAACUGUGAACUGUAAAGAAGUGAAUUUCGACGAUACAUUUUUUCGGUAUCGAUAGUAAUCGUAUCGACCUUGUGGUGCAAUAAAGUUAUCAAAGAGAUAUAAAUCCUUGCCUAUCGAUUCAAGCAUUGAACACCACUAAUGCCCGUACUAAUAUUCGUGUAUUGAUCCGAGAUCGAAGUAAUCUCGGAUUGACAAGUGACGUUUUCUAUAGAAAACGAGAAUUAAUCUUCGAUCUCGGAUCAAUACACGACUACCUACUAAUACAGGCAUAAAUGACUAAUACAGCAAUAGCAUAAGGUGGUUAAUUUCCCCUCCCAAUGAAUUCGUUGACUUACAUUAAUAAAUGGCGUCCAAAAGUAUUUCGUACCAUGUCUUAAAAAUAAAUACCUUUGUGUUCGUAAUAUUUUUCAGGACAUGCAAAGAAGGUCCUAAACUUUAAAGCUUUUGGCGAACAAUUUGGCUGUUUAUUUUGUGCCCUCUCCAAGUAUAGCUAAUACAUUGCAUAUGUGUUUUUGGCCUACAAUAUCAGGAAUGUAAUCAGCGGAAGUUGAUCGCUAACAGAAUCUUUUGCUGCGCUAACAUACCAACUUCUUUGCAGAUUUCCAAACAUGGGAAGAAUUAAAUUAAAAAAUUAUAAUAACAUAUCCCUAAGACAUAGAAGACGAUUGCUAAACAAAAAUACAAAAUCUAACCUAGUCGUUGGGAAUAACUCGAAGAAUGAUUCAUUGGGGAAUCCCGAGGAGAAUCCAAUUUCUGUAAUUGUUAAUCGAUUCCAUUCUCAGUGUAGUCAAAAUACCCACAAUACGGUUUGUAAAACUGCAACGUUUGAUAGUAAUGUUACAAGUGCAGCAUCGCAUUCCAAUGAAAACUUGUGUGAAUAUGUAGAUGUUGGAGAUGAAUAUUGUUCUGGACCGAUUUUACACAACACUGAACAUAUUGCUUUUAAGAAUACAGAGACUGUUGUGAGUGUGGACCCCCCUCGAGAUACUCCACAUGUUCAUAAUGAUUCAUCAAUUCAACUACAAGAACAACUUGCAAAUUGGGCUCUAAUCUUCAAUGUUAAUUUAAAUGCAGUGUCAGCACUGUUACAUAUUAUAAACAAUUUCACAACUUAUUCGUUACCUAAAGACGCUCGAACUUUACUACAAACUCCUCGUCACACAAUUGUAAAAAGUAUGGGAAGGGGUCAAUAUCUACACUUGGGUUUAGAGAAUGCACUGAAAAAAAUGAUAAAUCAACAAGUUCAACAUAAUAAUGAAAUUGAUCUUUUAAUAAAUAUUGACGGACUACCUAUUUCUCGUUCUUCUACAGCAUGUUUAUGGCCAAUAUUGUGUUCUGACAACGUAACAAAACAAGUUUUUAUGGUCGGGUCAUACUACGGUCACGAAAAACCUACUGACGUCGCUUUGUAUCUCCAACAGUUUGUUGAUGAAGCUAUAUUACUUGUGCAGAAUGGGUAUUGUUUAAACAAUAAAAUAUAUAAGGUGAACAUAUCUGCACUCAUUUGUGAUGCUCCAGCGAAAUCUUUUGCUUUGUGUAUAAAAGGUCACACAGGUUAUAACAGCUGCAGUAAAUGCAAAAUAGAAGGACAAUAUAUCAACAAUCGUAUAUGUUUUCCAUUUGGAUCGGGUGGAAGCAAUAUAUUAAGGAAGAGCGAAGAUUUUUGGCAAGAUGGUGAUGAGGAGUUUCAAUAUGAUAAAAGUCCUUUCUUAAACAUACCCAAUUUUAAUCCAGUUUUAAAUGUCCCUUUGGAUUAUUUACACCUUAUAUGCUUGGGAGUUGUAAAAAAACUCAUUCUUUUGUGGAUGUCUGGAAAACCCCUUAAUAUCAGAAUCCCUGGAAUGACAAUAAAUAAAAUAUCUUCAGAUAUAUUGAAAUGCCAAAAGACUGUUCCAAGAGAAAUUGUGCGGAAACCUCGAUCGUUGUCAGACAUACAUCAUUGGAAAGGAACAGAGUUUCGCUCAUUUUUAUUGUAUGUUGGACCUGUUGUAUUAAAAAAAUAUUUAAGUGCUGAUAUGUACUUAAACUUUUUGACAUUACAUACUGCAAUUCGAAUAUUAUGUAAUCCUAACAUAUCUGAAGAUAAUAAUUAUAUUGUAUAUGCUGAGAAUCUGUUGAUACAUUUUGUGCAAUCUUUUGGAAUUAUUUAUGGAAAUGAUAAAAUUUCACACAAUGUCCAUAAUUUAAUUCAUAUUGCAGAUGACGCUAAAAAGUUUGGAUCUCUAGACAAUUUUAGCGCUUUUAGGUUUGAAAAUUACAUGUCUCACAUAAAAAAACUUAUUCGGAAAAACAAUCAACCUCUGCAACAGUUAGCACGACGUUAUACUGAACUUGAACAACUUAUAAAUUUAAAUCCAACGUCAAAAGUACAUUUAAAGAAAUUGCACAGUGAAGAAUUGUCAAUUGAUAGCCUUGCUUUUAUAAACAAUAUUCUUCAGUUUAAAAUAUAUGAAAGUGAGAAAUAUAUAAUAGAUUCUAGACAUUUUAAAGAUAGUUGCAUCCUUUUACACAGUGGAGAAAUUUUUUGUGUUUUGAACAUCAUUUGUGAAGAAGGGAAUAAAAAUGUACGUUUUGUGGGCAAAUGUUUAAAAAAACUAGAAUCUGCAUUGUACUCUCAGCCCUGCAGUUCAAGAGAUCUAGAUAUUUACAUUGUUAGAGAACCAUCCCAUUCAAACAAUGUCACUAUACGAGACAUUUCAGCAACAAAAUACAAAUUGUGGAUGGUACCAUAUCAGCAAUCAACUUUUGUUGCAAUUCCAUUAUUACAUACAAAUUCAUAGUUAAUCGAUAAUAAUUAAUCAAUCUUUAAUACAUAUUUGUACAUAUUAAUACCACCAAUAGCAUGUUGCAUAUAAAUUACUCAUUGAUACCAUAGGUACUUACCUGCUAAAAUUUUUACAUAUUUACUUAUAUAUUAUUUUUAGUUCAGAAAAUUUUGGGAAUUCCAAAAUAAUGAGUUAUUCAGUCGUAGAAUUCUCAGAUGGGGUACAAGUAGUACCCACUAGUUGGAUUUUCAAGGAAUGUAAUAUUGAUAUGUGCUGGUGGCCUCCCAACUGCAAUGAUAAAUUUCAAAUAAAUAGAUUAGUAUCUGGGAAUCACAACCCAGAGUCAAACUGGAAAAAACAUAAACUACUUAAAAUAUUUUGUCAAACCCCUACCUAUGAAAAAGGGAAGGAGAAACUUGAAUAUGCCUUACUAUUAUCCGAUGUUGAAGUAGAAGAUGAUGCGGUAAAAAGAAGCAGGCAUCAAAGACACUGUUCCAAACGAGACGCGGCCUGUGUGGAUACUGAUGAAGCCCAUAGUAAGAGUAACAAAAAAAGAUUAAGAGUCAUCUAUGAAAGUGAUGAAGAAUCCUCAACUGGAAGUGAUACAAAACUGACGCAAAUGCCUCCGUUCCCACCUAUACCCUCAUUGCUCUCGAGAUUAAGAGAAACAGAAGAUAAUGGUCCAGAGAAGGCUGAUGGGUCUGAUGUAUCCACUGGUGUAUCUACACCUGUAUCUAGAGGUGAUUUUGAACCUGGUGGUGCUACAGAUAUAAACAGAAAAUUAAACUUAAUAUUGCAUAAAUUGCAUGUAAUAGAAAACCGAUUAAAUACCUUAGAUAGUGUGCAACAAUCUCAGACAGUGCAGUUAACUAAAACUGUGCAAGAUUUGUACAAAAUUUUUCCCUUAGGCAGUCACGAAGAACUUGACAAUUUUGAAAAAGAGCUGGAAGGUGAAACUUAUUUUAAGAAAAUGGUGUCUGAAUUUACAACAAUUGGUGGCCAUGAUGUACAGUCGCUGACUGUAAAUAUCUUAAAAAAACUUUUAAGCAACAAGGUGGCUGUGGAGUAUAGUUUGCAAGGAAAAAAGAAAAAGAAAAUCUUUAAAAAUUUACUUUCUUAUCAAAUGAUAAUAAGUGCUGUUCGAUAUCACAAAUCGUGUGCAACAGAAGUCGACAUUUCUGGUUGCAUAGCAACCUGGUUAAGUCAGUCUGGUUUAAGAAUGGCACGUGAAAUUAAUAAGCGGCUACCAGCCGAGCAAUUGAUGGUGGAACCUACCCCCCAAUAAGCAUACUAAUUAGUUAUGUUUUAUGCAUUUAUAUAUAAAUUUAUUAUAGUGUACAUUUAGUCUAUAAAUAAAUAUAUAUGAACAUUG